GAAAUGCGAUAAGUAAUGUGAAUUGCAGAAUUCAGUGAAUCAUCGAAUCUUUGAACGCACAUUGCGCCCGCCAGUAUUCUGGCGGGCAUGCCUGUUCGAGCGUCAUUUCAACCAUCAAGCCCCAGGCUUGUGUUGGGGACCUGCGGCUGCCGCAGGCCCUGAAAUCCAGUGGCGGGUUCGCUGUCACCCCGAGCGUAGUAGCAAUAUCUCGCUCAGGGCGUGCUGCGGGCACCGGCCGUUAAAAGCUGCCUUCUGGCAACACCCAAGGUUGACCUCGGAUCAGGUAGGAAGACCCGCUGAACUUAA
Molecule: unclassified non-coding RNA, 306 nt
Filed under: uncultured Chaetomium
Lineage: Eukaryota; Fungi; Ascomycota; Sordariomycetes; Sordariales; Chaetomiaceae
Description: sequence contains ITS1
Rfam family: 5.8S ribosomal RNA (bases 1-105)
Source: RNAcentral